GUAACAACAGAAAGAACAGUAUGCUAACAGUAGUCAUAACGCAAAUCUAGGUUCUGUGACUCUGUGAAAAGGGACCUGUGCUCUCUCCCCUGGAAUGACCAUAGGGAAUACACCCCUGGCACUGAAAUCUCUUCAUUGCUGUCACUGUGUCUCUGGGCCAUAGGGAAUUUACUAUCAUGUUUUCCCUGUCAGACGAUCACCAUCUGGGUGGGGGCAGGAUAGAGAGCCCACCCUUAAUCUGCUCCUCACCUGCCUACAGCACUGGUGGAUCUAGCUUCCUCCUAGGACAGCUGCAGCCUCGGGAGCAGCUGAACAGCAUCACCUCCUUCAUGGAUGGCAGCACAGCCUCGUGGCUGGCCAAGGAACUCUGCAACUUCACCCACGAGCUGCGCUCCUGGCUGGGAACCUGAAGUACUCUGAUGGGAGUGGGGGGCCUCCCCUCCUGCCCUGCACUGAGAAGAAAUCCCCCAAUUCCUGCGUCUUGACUAGGAACCCCUGUGCUCCCACUAACAUGUCUGAUGUUUCCUGCUUUGUAGCAGGGCACUCGAGAUCUGAUGAGCAUUUAGGAAUACAGGUCCUGGCAGCUGUGUUCCUGAGGGAGAAUGAGAGAGUCCCUGCAGCUGUCCACCAGCUCAGCCCCACCUGGAGUGAGGAAUGCUGCUACCAGGAGACCUGCAAGAUUAUCCGUGCAUAUCUCCAAAUCAGGGCAACAGUUUGGAGCUGCCCAACCCAUGGCAUGGCAUCCCUUAUUCAGGACCACACCCAACUCCUAUUGAAGCCAGCAGACAGAUUUCCCCUGACAUCAGUGAGCAUUGCAUCAGACCCAUAGUUGCCACCACAUAUUUCUCAGCUGUUCUCUCACACCUCCCUGCUCGGCAGACCCUGCUCUUAUCAGAGACGGGCCGAGAAUGCUACACACUACGCCAAGUUAAUGCACACGUAGAUUUAUAUAAGAGCAGCCCUGACCUUGGGAAACCUCUGAUAAAGCUUAUACAGCAAACAGAAACUAAUGCUAGGAUCAGACUGCAGCUGGCAGGGAAUGGCCCUUUGCCUGGAAAUCACAGGGCUCCCAGAACUCUGAUUCACUUCAGUGGCAGGUGCAGGUGGCUUGGCACCUCUGAAAAUCAAACCUUUAAUGCUGGCCCCAGGGCGGGAGCAAUGGCACAGCCAUCCACCCAUCCUUAGUGUAAUACACAUCAGGUGGGUGAGCUCCUGGCCUGCCUGCUAGGGAAGCAGUUCUAGGCUCUGUUUGAUGGGGACAGGUGAGAGGUCCUGUGACAAAGCAGCACUUCGUCAUUCAGUCCCCAAAUGCCAGCUCAGAAUUCCAGCGCUGGGUGAUCACAGCAUUAGCUUCCUCAGAUUCCUCAGGCCACCCAGGAUUUAUUACAGGGAAGGGGUGCUUAUGUCAGCAUUAUUUAGCUAGGCACUACAUAUUAGCUACACCUCCCAGCAGAGAGAAGAGCUGGCAAAGGUAACUCUCUUCUGGAUCCUGUGCGAGAACGCCCACAUCCGCCAGCUCCACAUAGACAUGUUCUCAGCCACUUCCUGGACCACUUUGUCCCCCUGCAAUAGUCUCCUGAUUCUCAGGGUGGAUCUGGCUGCCUGGAGACAGGAUCCGACAGGUAAAACCUGGAGCAUCUGGCUGUCGGCUAUGGAAAGCCCCCAGGCAAGCUAUUUCCAGGGAGGGAAGGACUUGGCUGUGUCUGAAGGUACUAAUUGUCCCCAGGGCUGCCCCAGCAAGCUCAGAAGUCAGAGUGCUGCCAACUAUAACCAUCCCCUCCAGCUCUCAUCUCAGGAAUCCCAGCAGCCACACUGGCACCAGCCCUGAUCACAGGACAGAAUUUCCAAAGCAUCCUGGACAAAAGAACCAUGCAAGAGUGGAAGCCAGAUUUCCUUUAGUGUCUCCCUUCCCCCACUUUCCUCCCCAAACACACACAUACCUCUAGGGUUACCGACUGCUGUGGCACAGACCAGCAGGUGACAUACACUCUGGGAGCUCACCCACCAUCUCACCCCAGAGUUGUCUAACAGCAGAGGUCUGCCAGAGACAACCUCCAGCCCAACCUGCUGGAGUAACUCCCCAGCUGCCCCGCACCAUCCCUUCUUACUCAGUAACUACUAGUCACCUUGGUGGCAAUAAGAACGAAUAAAGCCUGAGGGACUCAGGCAGGUCACAAGGGAAAAGGACAAUGACUGAAAGACAUCGGCACUGGCUGGUAGCCAUCUUUACUACAGCCCAGCCUCCACACUCAAAAGCUGGAGGGAAACGACAGCCAGCUUGACCAAACGCAGCCUAUUUCUUCAGCCCUAUGGAAAGGCAGGGGAAAUGGUGGCCAUUUUGAAUAGGGAAGAAAUUCAUGAAUUUUAUUCCAUUUGAUACCCCCUCAGGUCUGCCAUGAACAUACCAACUGCCACAGACAGGCGAGAGGGAACUACAGGCAGAGAGACACAGCAAGGGAGCUAGGAAUUGAUGGGAUUACAAGGGUGUGUCACCCAUGUAUUUGAGGGUAGAACUGGGCCUUUACAGGCUCAGGACCAAAUUCUGCCCUGACCUAUGCCCCAUGCAAACCCGUAGAUGUAGGAGUCCAAGGGUGUGACUGUGGGAACAGUUAAGCCCAAGGUGGGUAUUGGACCCUCUAUCACCCCCGCUUUAGGAUCAGUAUGAACCUCCAACCCUUCACACCAAACCCCUUCUAAACCAGUGUUUACUUAAAUCCCUGUUUUUAUUUCCUUUCCCAAAGGGGAAUCCUGACAGUUCAAUCUGUAUUUUGAUUGAUUAAAAGCAUUCUAAGGUGCACCGUUAACGUUACCAUGGAAACACUGUGCAUGGUGUGAAGCAAGAUGGGGGGCAGGGGAGGGGGCACAACACUCCUGAGCCUUCCCUGUGGGACAGUGCCAGAGGAGGAGGAAGGAAAGGCUGAAGAGUGGUUGUUUUGUACCAAUCUGAGCCCAGGUGAAACUCUAGGCCUGCGAAGAUGCACAAGUUUGGAUAGCAGAUUAAGCUGUAACAAUCCUGAGGGAAGUGGACGGAGACUCAGUGGUUGGGAUGUCUCACACUAGGACCAAACACCAGGUGGUAUGCUGCAGAGGGAAUAGCCACGCACUGGGCUGAGGGACAUGGAAUGGACAAUCUAACAUAUCUGCUGGUUGUGACUUACACCUGCUUUUCCAGCGAGGCUCUGCAGCGG
This is a long non-coding RNA of Mauremys reevesii (Reeves's turtle), 3188 nucleotides long. RefSeq lists it as uncharacterized. The record is from RefSeq and is a predicted model, not a curated record. NCBI's taxonomy places the organism in Eukaryota, Metazoa, Chordata, Testudines, Geoemydidae. The transcript has 3 exons.